This 200-nucleotide ribosomal RNA is filed under the name Escherichia coli. RNAcentral's name for it is "partial 16S ribosomal RNA". It matches the Rfam family "Bacterial small subunit ribosomal RNA", at positions 1 to 208 of the family's 1533-position model. The record is from RNAcentral. Lineage: Bacteria; Pseudomonadati; Pseudomonadota; Gammaproteobacteria; Enterobacterales; Enterobacteriaceae. RNAcentral also lists the same sequence under 1 other name.
AAAUUGAAGAGUUUGAUCAUGGCUCAGAUUGAACGCUGGCGGCAGGCCUAACACAUGCAAGUCGAACGGUAACAGGAAGCAGCUUGCUGCUUCGCUGACGAGUGGCGGACGGGUGAGUAAUGUCUGGGAAACUGCCUGAUGGAGGGGGAUAACUACUGGAAACGGUAGCUAAUACCGCAUAACGUCGCAAGACCAAAGAG